AGAGCCAGCAUCGGGAAGAAUUCUGCCUAGUGUAAAAUUUGCUCACGUUUCCACUAAUUUACCCAGGCAAGAAGCUGGCUGAUGUCUGUCUGGAUUGAGGUGCUAGCCUUUCUUGAAUCCAGAAAGGUUCCUACUUUUAUUCGUGUGAUGAUGAUGGAAUGCUAGUAGUAGCGAAAUUGGGACAUGGCUGAUGUAUAAUCAGUGUUUGUGUGGAUUUUUCGCUUUACUCGUCGAUUUGUAUUUGGUCUGAAGAUCGUUUGUUCGACAUGAAUCAUUUGCCAACUGCCUGGCAUUCGAGAUUUGGCUAAAGAAAGUGAAGGUCAGCGUCAAAGCUAGUCUGACUCUCAAUUGUGUGCAGUGAAAUACUCAAAACAGCUUCGUCCUCCAUGCAACCUCUCCCUCGUGCUCGGCACUCAUCUCCUCUGCGCCAAUCACACGCCCGCCCUUCCCGGAGCCAAAUCCUCGCCGCCUGUGGCCCUGUUGUGGCAGUGGUACAUUGUUAGUAAUCUACAGGAUCUCUCUCUCGAUCUAUAUUACUCACGCAAGGAUUUGACUAUCAGUAUAAGAUACAAU
RNAcentral lists this long non-coding RNA (573 nucleotides) under Triticum aestivum (bread wheat). Its description in RNAcentral is "long non-coding RNA (TAES_LNC004696)". The record is from RNAcentral. Lineage: Eukaryota; Viridiplantae; Streptophyta; Magnoliopsida; Poales; Poaceae.